GACGAACGCUGGCGGCGUGCCUAAUACAUGCAAGUUGAACGCUUCUUUCUUAUCGAACUUCGGUUCACCAAGAAAGAGGAGUAGCGAACGGGUGAGUAACACGUGGGUAACCUGCCCAUCAGCGGGGGAUAACACUUGGAAACAGGUGCUAAUACCGCAUAAUGCUUUUUCUCACAUGAGAGAAAGCUGAAAGGCGCUUUUGCGUCACUGAUGGAUGGACCCGCGGUGCAUUAGCUAGUUGGUAGGGUAACGGCCUACCAAGGCAACGAUGCAUAGCCGACCUGAGAGGGUGAUCGGCCACACUGGGACUGAGACACGGCCCAGACUCCUACGGGAGGCAGCAGUAGGGAAUCUUCGGCAAUGGACGAAAGUCUGACCGAGCAACGCCGCGUGAGUGAAGAAGGUUUUCGGAUCGUAAAAACUCUGUUGUUAGAGA
This 436-nucleotide ribosomal RNA is filed under the name Enterococcus italicus. RNAcentral's name for it is "bacterial SSU rRNA". It matches the Rfam family "Bacterial small subunit ribosomal RNA", at positions 28 to 445 of the family's 1533-position model. The record is from RNAcentral. Lineage: Bacteria; Bacillati; Bacillota; Bacilli; Lactobacillales; Enterococcaceae.